RNAcentral lists this ribosomal RNA (976 nucleotides) under uncultured archaeon. Its description in RNAcentral is "bacterial SSU rRNA". It matches the Rfam family "Archaeal small subunit ribosomal RNA", at positions 1 to 940 of the family's 1478-position model. The record is from RNAcentral.
GGCCGCGGGAAUUCGAUUUUGGUUGAUCCUGCCAGACCCGACUGCUAUCGGAUUGAGAUUUAGCCAUGCGAGUCGAACGUCCUCCUGUUGCGGGGGGCGUGGCGUACGGCUCAGUAACACGUAGUCAACCUGCCCUGGAGAUACGGACAACCCCGGGAAACUGGGAUUAAUUCCGUGAUAGGUCAUCUCAUCUGGAAGGAGAGAUGGCUUAAAGGGGUGCGUGAGCUUCUUUCGUGCACUUGCUCCAGGAUGGGACUGCGACCGAUCAGGCUGUUGGCGGGGUAAUGGCCCACCAAACCAGUAACCGGUACGGGCUUUGAGAGAAGGAGCCCGGAGAUGGACACUGAGACAAGGGUCCAGGUCCUACGGGGCGCAGCAGGCGCGAAACCUUCGCAAUGUGCGAAAGCAUGACGAGGUUAAUCCGAGUGGCAUCCGCUGAGGAAGUCUUUUGCCGGCUCUAAAACGGCCGGUGAAUAAGGGGAGGGCAAGCCUGGUGUCAGCCGCCGCGGUAAUACCAGCUCCUCGAGUGGUCGGGGCGAUUAUUGGGCCUAAAGCAUCCGUAGCCGGUUCCGUAGGUCCUCUGUUAAAUCCAGCCGCUUAACGGUUGGCCUGCAGAGGAUACCGCGGGACUAGGAGGCGGGAGAGGCGGGCGGUACUCUACGUGUAGGGGUAAAAUCCUUUGAUCCGUAGAAGACCACCAGUGGCGAAGGCGGCCCGCCAGAACGCGCUCGACGGUGAGGGAUGAAAGCUGGGGGAGCGAACCGGAUUAGAUACCCGGGUAGUCCCAGCCGUAAACGAUGCGAGCUAGAUGAUCCAGUCGCAAAUCGCGAUUGGAGUGUCGCAGGGAAGCCGUUAAGCUCGCCGCCUGGGGAGUACGGUCGCAAGACUGAAACUUAAAGGAAUUGGCGGGGGAGCACCACAAGGGGUGAAGCCUGCGGUUCAAUUGGAUUCAACGCCGGGAAUCACUAGUGAAUUC